RNAcentral lists this ribosomal RNA (838 nucleotides) under uncultured eukaryote. RNAcentral describes it as "SSU rRNA". It matches the Rfam family "Eukaryotic small subunit ribosomal RNA", at positions 21 to 892 of the family's 1831-position model. The record is from RNAcentral.
GGUAUAUGCUUGUCUCAAAGACUAAGCCAUGCAAGUCUAAGUAUAAGUUAUUCUGAAGACGAAACUGCGAAUGGCUCGGUAAAACAGCAAUAAUUUCUUCGGUGAUGAGUUUACUCACGGAUAACCGUAGUAAUUCUAGAGCUAAUACGUGCUGAAAUAAGAUGGGGUUCGCUCCAUCGUGCCGUUUAGAUAACAACACCAACAUUUGGUGAUUCAUAAUCGUCUUUCUGAUCGCUUGUGCGACGCACCGUUCAAAUUUCUGACCUAUCAACUUUCGAUGGUAAGGUAGUGUCUUACCAUGGUGGCAACGGGUAACGGACCGUGGGUGCGGGACUCCGGAGAGGGAGCCUGAGAAACGGCUACCACAUCCAAGGAAGGCAGCAGGCGCGCAACUUGCCCAAUCCAGACUCUGGGAGGCAGUGACAAGAAAUAUCAAUAGGGGAUCCUAUGGGUCUUCUAAUUGGAAUGAGAACAAGCUAAACAGCUUAUCGAGAAUCCAGCAGAGGGCAAGUCUGGUGCCAGCAGCCGCGGUAAUUCCAGCUCUGUAAGCGUAUACCAAAGUUGUUGCAGUUAAAACGCUCGUAGUCGGAACUUGGCCAUUCCGGAAGUGUGCACGUCGUGUGCGCGCUUUGCGGGGAUAGCUUUUGUGGUUUUGCGUAGGAUGAGGCACUUUUAUUAGUGAACGUCCUCACGCAUCCACUCUUUACUGUGAGAAAAUCAGAGUGCUCAAAGCAGCAUUUGCCGUGAAUGUAUUAGCAUGGAAUAAUAGAUAGGACUUGGUUCUAUUUUGUGGUUUGUUGGGACUGAGUAAUGAUUAAGAGGGACAGUUGGGGGCAUU